This 833-nucleotide ribosomal RNA is filed under the name uncultured bacterium gp2. RNAcentral's name for it is "bacterial SSU rRNA". It matches the Rfam family "Bacterial small subunit ribosomal RNA", at positions 61 to 896 of the family's 1533-position model. The record is from RNAcentral.
GUCGAGUGCGCGUCCGUAGCAAUACGGAUGGCGCACGGCGCACGGGUGCGUAACACGUGGGCAAUCUGCCCUCGGAUGGGGGAUAACUCGUCGAAAGGCGAGCUAAUACCGCAUGACAUUCCGAAGACUCCGGUCUUUGGAUUCAAAGGCCGCAAGGCCGUCUGAGGAGGAGCCCGCGCCCGAUUAGCUAGUUGGUGAGGUAACGGCUCACCAAGGCUUUGAUCGGUAGCCGGUCUGAGAGGAUGGCCGGCCACACUGGAACUGAGACACGGUCCAGACUCCUACGGGAGGCAGCAGUGGGGAAUAUUGCGCAAUGGGCGAAAGCCUGACGCAGCGACGCCGCGUGGGGGAUGAAGCUUCUCGGAGUGUAAACCCCUUUCGACCCGGACGAAUGACCCGCAAGGGUUUGACGGUACGGGUAUAAGAAGCCCCGGCUAACUACGUGCCAGCAGCCGCGGUAAUACGUAGGGGGCCAGCGUUGCUCGGAAUUACUGGGCGUAAAGGGUUCGUAGGUGGUGCGGUAAGUUGGAAGUGAAAUCUCUGGGCUUAACCCAGAGGCUGCUUUCAAAACUGUCGCGCUCGAGUGCGAGAGAGGUCAGUGGAAUUGCAGGUGUAGCGGUGAAAUGCGUAGAUAUCUGCAGGAACACCCGUGGCGAAGGCGGCUGACUGGAUCGCAACUGACACUGAGGAACGAAAGCUAGGGGAGCAAACAGGAUUAGAUACCCUGGUAGUCCUAGCCCUAAACCAUCGGAACUUGGGGUGGCCCGCGUAGGCGGGUCGUCCCGUAGCUAACGCGUUAAGUUCCGCGCCUGGGGAGUACGGUCGCAAGACUG